Long non-coding RNA from Salvia hispanica, 387 nucleotides. RefSeq lists it as uncharacterized. The record is from RefSeq and is a predicted model, not a curated record. NCBI's taxonomy places the organism in Eukaryota, Viridiplantae, Streptophyta, Magnoliopsida, Lamiales, Lamiaceae.
AUUGUACUCCACCUCCUGCUUGAAUACUCCCCUCCACCUCCUGCUUAUUACCACACAUUUAAUCCCAAAAUUCCACCACAUAUACAAUCUGCAAUCACUUUCGCAGAGAAUCGUGAGCAACAGAGCAGCAAGCAGGUUAUCUCCGCAAGUUAAGGUCGGAGCGAGAAAUUCAAAUUAAGGAAAUUAAAGGAACGAGGUUGAGCAGUGACGGUGGAGAAUGUUGAACAGAGUUAUGAUUUUCCUUUUAUUUUAAGUAGAGGCUCUCGGCGGUGCAUGUCUCCAUACAUGUGACCGUGUUCAUUCCGCUGCGUACUAAGAUUUUAGUUAACCUCAAUUAAUCUUCUGUACUCUGAUAAUUAUUUAUUGAAAAGUAAGAUUUUCAUUCAA